UAUAAUGAUGAGUCUUCAAACACUUUUAUGCUAGAUAGUAUCUGAGAGCUAUUUGCUUAGUGAUUGCGGUGUUAAUGAACAAUGGGAAUCUCUCUGAUA
Molecule: small nucleolar RNA, 99 nt
Filed under: Vanderwaltozyma polyspora DSM 70294
Lineage: Eukaryota; Fungi; Ascomycota; Saccharomycetes; Saccharomycetales; Saccharomycetaceae
Description: Small nucleolar RNA snR65
Rfam family: Small nucleolar RNA snR65
Source: Rfam by way of RNAcentral